ACCAUUCAGUUCAAGGCUCCUCACUCUCUUAAUUAACCUCCAUUGUGUUGAAUUGCCUCAUUUUGUCUUUCUUUUUACUAAGAACGUUUUCGGUAAAGAGGAGUUUGUAGUUUAUUAGAGCCGAAGUCACUGGCCACACCAUGUCUGCAGAGAAGAAGCCAAAGAAGAAGAAGGCAGAGACAGCGAGCUCAGCCACCAAUGGUGCCGACGCAAAGCCCAAAAAGCCCAAGAGCAAGAAGAGCGAUGACCUGUCUGGAGAGGAGAGUCCUGCAGUUCAAAAUGGAAAAAAGGUAAAGAAAAAGAAAGCAGAUGAAGAAAA
This is a non-coding RNA of Salvelinus sp. IW2-2015, 319 nucleotides long. NCBI's taxonomy places the organism in Eukaryota, Metazoa, Chordata, Actinopteri, Salmoniformes, Salmonidae. The record is from RefSeq and is a predicted model, not a curated record.